CUGACCUUGACAUCCUCCUGAAUGUGGAGUAAUGUCUGCAGCCCUUCGGGGCAGGAGAGACAGGUGGUGCAUGGUUGUCGUCAGCUCGUGUCGUGAGAUGUUGGGUUAAGUCCCGCAACGAGCGCAACCCCUGCCCCCAGUAGCCAGCAAUUAAGAUGGGCACUCUGGGGGGACAGCCUGGGAUAACCAGGAGGAAGGCGGGGACGACGUCAAAUCAUCAUGCCCCUUAUGGCCAGGGCUACACACGUGCUACAAUGGCGUAAACAGAGGGAAGCGACGCAGCGAUGCCAAGCAAAGCCCAAAAAUAACGCCUCAGUUCGGAUUGCAGCCUGCAACUCGGCUGCAUGAAGCCGGAAUCGCUAGUAAUCGCGGAUCAGAAUGCCGCGGUGAAUACGUUCCC
RNAcentral lists this ribosomal RNA (400 nucleotides) under uncultured bacterium. RNAcentral describes it as "bacterial SSU rRNA". It matches the Rfam family "Bacterial small subunit ribosomal RNA", at positions 975 to 1375 of the family's 1533-position model. The record is from RNAcentral.